RNAcentral lists this ribosomal RNA (375 nucleotides) under uncultured bacterium. RNAcentral's name for it is "bacterial SSU rRNA". It matches the Rfam family "Bacterial small subunit ribosomal RNA", at positions 524 to 898 of the family's 1533-position model. The record is from RNAcentral.
UACGAAGGGGGCUAGCGUUGCUCGGAAUUACUGGGCGUAAAGGGCGCGUAGGCGGCCCAUCAAGUCAGGCGUGAAAUUCCCGGGCUCAACCUGGGGACUGCGCUUGAGACUGGCGGGCUAGAGGCCGAGAGAGGGUGGUGGAAUUCCCAGUGUAGAGGUGAAAUUCGUAGAUAUUGGGAAGAACACCGGUGGCGAAGGCGGCCACCUGACUCGGUACUGACGCUGAGGCGCGACAGCGUGGGGAGCAAACAGGAUUAGAUACCCUGGUAGUCCACGCCGUAAACGAUGUGUGCUGGAUGUUGGGAAACCUAGUUUCUCAGUGUCGUAGCUAACGCGGUAAGCACACCGCCUGGGGAGUACGGCCGCAAGGUUGAA